UACGUAGGGGGCAAGCGUUGUUCGGAAUUACUGGGCGUAAAGGGCGCGUAGGCGGCCUGCUAAGUCGCACGUGAAAUCCCUGGGCUCAACCCAGGAACUGCGUCCGAUACUGGUUGGCUUGAAUCCGGGAGAGGGAUGUGGAAUUCCAGGUGUAGCGGUGAAAUGCGUAGAUAUCUGGAGGAACACCGGUGGCGAAGGCGGCAUCCUGGACCAAUAUUGACGCUGAGGAGCGAAAGCUAGGGGAGCAAACGGG
RNAcentral lists this ribosomal RNA (253 nucleotides) under uncultured bacterium. Its description in RNAcentral is "partial 16S ribosomal RNA". It matches the Rfam family "Bacterial small subunit ribosomal RNA", at positions 524 to 776 of the family's 1533-position model. The record is from RNAcentral.